Solanum lycopersicum (tomato) is the source of this 846-nucleotide non-coding RNA. The record is from RefSeq and is a predicted model, not a curated record. Lineage: Eukaryota; Viridiplantae; Streptophyta; Magnoliopsida; Solanales; Solanaceae.
AAUAUGAAAAGUGAGAAUAAUUCAUCUUCCUCAAUUCAUUCUUCCAUGUUCCAUACUUCCAAGUUCCUUUCAAUUUUAUUCAUUCUUCAUUCUUUCAAGAAGCGGGCAGCGAGUUAAGACGGGCAGUGAACUCAGAGGCUAGCCGUCAGCGAGUUCAGAGUCUUCAGACGGCCAGCAACCGGCGACCAGCGACCGGCGACCAGCGACCGGCGACCAGCUGACCACUAAUCAGUUUUGGAGUUGUCCAAAAAAUUAGAUAUGUGGGAAACUAAUAUGAUGGAAGGUGGAACUAUAGCAUGUUCAAUUCAAUAUGAAGAUUGGAAUAAUAUGAGGAAUGUUACAAAGUUUCUUGAAAAAUUUUAUGAGCUCACUUUGAAUGUUUCAGGUUCACGAGAUGGAAAAUAGUGGAAGAAACUCUUCCACUGUUGAUAUAUGAUUGACUUGCAAGGGGUCCAAGAGUCAAGACAAUGAAGAAGACGUACAGUACUAAGUUUUAUUAGUAAUUUUGUUGGCAUGUGACACUUGAAAGUUGAAAGCGGUCUCAUGGAAGAAGGUCAAGAAAACUCACUAUUUUUGUUUGUUAUUGUUUACAUUUGAAUUGAACGUGAUCUUAUGGAAGAAAACAAGAAGUUUAAAAUACAUUGUUUGUUGCUCAUUAUUGUUUAUUAUGUUGGCACUAGAAUUCUCGAAAGUUGAAACUUGAAAGUGGUCUCAACUCUCAUGGAAGACUGUAUUGUUACUUGUUAGAUUGUUAUUAUGUGGUAUUUGUGAAGACAUUAACUACAAUGCACUUUUGUUUUAGUGAUAUUGUUAAUUAAAAAUUGUGUGUUUUAGUGACAUUAUGAA